Molecule: ribosomal RNA, 250 nt
Filed under: uncultured prokaryote
Description: partial 16S ribosomal RNA
Rfam family: Bacterial small subunit ribosomal RNA
Source: RNAcentral
UACAGAGGUCCCUAGCGUUGUUCGGAUUUACUGGCGUAGAGGGCGCGUAGGCGGCCAGGCAAGUCUAGUGUGAAAUCUCCGGGCUCAACCCGGAACGUGCGCUUGAGACUGCCCGGCUCGAGGCCGGGAGAGGGAAUCGGAAUGCAGGGUGUAGCGGUGAAAUGCGUUGAUAUCCUGCAGAACACCGGAGGCGAAGGCGGAUUCCUUGGACGGCACUGACGCUGAGGCGCGAAAGUCGGGGGAGCAAACA